RNAcentral lists this ribosomal RNA (253 nucleotides) under uncultured bacterium. RNAcentral's name for it is "partial 16S ribosomal RNA". It matches the Rfam family "Bacterial small subunit ribosomal RNA", at positions 524 to 776 of the family's 1533-position model. The record is from RNAcentral.
UACGUAGGUGGCAAGCGUUGUCCGGAUUUACUGGGCGUAAAGAGCGCGCAGGCGGUCGUUCAAGUCGCGUGUGAAAGCCCCCGGCUCAACUGGGGAGGGUCACGCGAUACUGAUCGACUCGAAGGCAGGAGAGGGUAGUGGAAUUCCCGGUGUAGUGGUGAAAUGCGUAGAGAUCGGGAGGAACACCAGUGGCGAAGGCGGCUACCUGGACCAGCACUGACACUGAGGCACGAAAGCGUGGGGAGCAAACAGG